UGUGGGAGCGAGCCUGCUCGCGAAGGCGGAGCCUCAGCAAACACUAAUGUUGACUGUUCCACCGUCAUCGCGAGCAGGCUCGCUCCCACA
RNAcentral lists this unclassified non-coding RNA (90 nucleotides) under Pseudomonas mohnii. Lineage: Bacteria; Pseudomonadati; Pseudomonadota; Gammaproteobacteria; Pseudomonadales; Pseudomonadaceae. The record is from RNAcentral.